AAACCAGCACCUCAAGUGGUCAGGAGGAUUAUUGGGCCUAAAGCAUCCGUAGCCUGUUCUGUAAGUUUUCGGUUAAAUCCACUAGCUCAACUAGUGGGCUGCCGAAAAUACUGUAGAACUAGGGAGUGGGAGAGGUAGACGGUAUUCGGUAGGAAGGGGUAAAAUCCUGUGAUCUAUUGAGGACCACCUGUGGCGAAGGCGGUCUACCAGAACACGUUCGACGGUGAGGGAUGAAAGCUGGGGGAGCAAACCGGAUUAGAAACCCGGGUAGUCC
This 274-nucleotide ribosomal RNA is filed under the name uncultured bacterium. RNAcentral describes it as "partial 16S ribosomal RNA". It matches the Rfam family "Archaeal small subunit ribosomal RNA", at positions 473 to 747 of the family's 1478-position model. The record is from RNAcentral.